This 224-nucleotide non-coding RNA is filed under the name Metabacillus litoralis. Its description in RNAcentral is "Bacillus litoralis T-box sequence". It matches the Rfam family "T-box leader". From Rfam's summary of the family: Uncharged tRNA acts as the effector for transcription antitermination of genes in the T-box leader family. T-boxes are found upstream of many aminoacyl-tRNA synthetase genes and some amino acid biosynthetic genes usually in Gram-positive bacteria. The anticodon of a specific tRNA base pairs to a specifier sequence within the T-box motif, and the NCCA acceptor tail of the tRNA base pairs to a conserved bulge in the T-box antiterminator hairpin. The record is from RNAcentral. Lineage: Bacteria; Bacillati; Bacillota; Bacilli; Caryophanales; Bacillaceae.
GUAAACGUGUUGAUAGGAACUAGUAGCAUGAUAUUCUAUCUGUAGAGAGCCGAUGGUUGGUGGAAAUCGGUGUUAGAUGCAUGUGAAUCCAUCCUUGAAUGAAUUGCUGAACUAACUAAGUGCUAUAGUAGGCUAUUCCGGCUGUGACCGUUAUUCAUUAAGUGGAAAAUACACAUGUUGUAUUUUUAACUAGGGUGGCAACGCGGGUAACUCUCGUCCCUUUU